AAAUCUCAAACCUUUUCUUCGUCUUCCUCCUGGUCAUGUUCCUCUCUUCUUCUGCCACAUCUCUUAUUAGUCUCUUUGGUAGGAGAUCUAAAAGCCUUUUUCAUAGCAAUCAACCAUGAGCUUCCUCCCUUCUUCUCCACAACCUAGCCGCAUUUACAGCAGCCCUGCUAAACUGAACUCCACAAAACAAGAAGUAGGAGUAUAAUUUCAAUGAUGUUUUGAC
RNAcentral lists this long non-coding RNA (223 nucleotides) under Vitis vinifera (wine grape). RNAcentral describes it as "long non-coding RNA (VVIN_LNC001815)". Lineage: Eukaryota; Viridiplantae; Streptophyta; Magnoliopsida; Vitales; Vitaceae. The record is from RNAcentral.